RNAcentral lists this ribosomal RNA (553 nucleotides) under Bacillus subtilis. RNAcentral describes it as "bacterial SSU rRNA". It matches the Rfam family "Bacterial small subunit ribosomal RNA", at positions 62 to 597 of the family's 1533-position model. RNAcentral also lists the same sequence under 1 other name. The record is from RNAcentral. Lineage: Bacteria; Bacillati; Bacillota; Bacilli; Caryophanales; Bacillaceae.
UCGAGCGGACAGAUGGGAGCUUGCUCCCUGAUGUUAGCGGCGGACGGGUGAGUAACACGUGGGUAACCUGCCUGUAAGACUGGGAUAACUCCGGGAAACCGGGGCUAAUACCGGAUGCUUGUUUGAACCGCAUGGUUCAAACAUAAAAGGUGGCUUCGGCUACCACUUACAGAUGGACCCGCGGCGCAUUAGCUAGUUGGUGAGGUAACGGCUCACCAAGGCAACGAUGCGUAGCCGACCUGAGAGGGUGAUCGGCCACACUGGGACUGAGACACGGCCCAGACUCCUACGGGAGGCAGCAGUAGGGAAUCUUCCGCAAUGGACGAAAGUCUGACGGAGCAACGCCGCGUGAGUGAUGAAGGUUUUCGGAUCGUAAAGCUCUGUUGUUAGGGAAGAACAAGUACCGUUCGAAUAGGGCGGUACCUUGACGGUACCUAACCAGAAAGCCACGGCUAACUACGUGCCAGCAGCCGCGGUAAUACGUAGGUGGCAAGCGUUGUCCGGAAUUAUUGGGCGUAAAGGGCUCGCAGGCGGUUUCUUAAGUCUGAUGUGA